This 284-nucleotide ribosomal RNA is filed under the name Citrobacter koseri. Its description in RNAcentral is "partial 23S ribosomal RNA". It matches the Rfam family "Bacterial large subunit ribosomal RNA", at positions 1123 to 1406 of the family's 2925-position model. Lineage: Bacteria; Pseudomonadati; Pseudomonadota; Gammaproteobacteria; Enterobacterales; Enterobacteriaceae. The record is from RNAcentral.
UUAAAGAAAGCGUAAUAGCUCACUGGUCGAGUCGGCCUGCGCGGAAGAUGUAACGGGGCUAAACCAUGCACCGAAGCUGCGGCAGCGACACUAUGUGUUGUUGGGUAGGGGAGCGUUCUGUAAGCCGUUGAAGGUGGCCUGUGAGGGUUGCUGGAGGUAUCAGAAGUGCGAAUGCUGACAUAAGUAACGAUAAAGCGGGUGAAAAGCCCGCUCGCCGGAAGACCAAGGGUUCCUGUCCAACGUUAAUCGGGGCAGGGUGAGUCGACCCCUAAGGCGAGGCCGAA